Hordeum vulgare subsp. vulgare (domesticated barley) is the source of this 122-nucleotide non-coding RNA. Lineage: Eukaryota; Viridiplantae; Streptophyta; Magnoliopsida; Poales; Poaceae. The record is from Rfam.
GAAAUACUCCCUCCGUGUGGAAAUACUUGUCAAAAAAAUAAAUAAAAAUUGUAUCUAGAACUAAAAUAUGUCUAAAUACAUCCAUUUUUACAACAAAUAUUUCCGGACGGAGGGAGUAUAAG